CCAAACUUGGUCAUUUAGAGGAAGUAAAAGUCGUAACAAGGUUUCCGUAGGUGAACCUGCGGAAGGAUCAUUAGCGUAAUUGUUGAACAGUGUCGCGAUGGCGGCGGCAACGCUGCUGCCGCGACACUUGUUACACCACCUUGUGAACCUGAAAUUUGUUUGUGCUGGCGGCUGAUCGAUCGGGCAACUGACUGGUCGGCCGCUGGCACUCUUGACAAACUCUAUUACAAUUAUUAUCGUCAUUCUUAUGAUAUAAUAUAUAACCAAACACACAACUUUUAACAAUGGAUCUCUAGGCUCCUGCAUCGAUGAAGAACGCAGC
RNAcentral lists this unclassified non-coding RNA (322 nucleotides) under uncultured fungus. RNAcentral's name for it is "partial contains small subunit ribosomal RNA, internal transcribed spacer 1, and 5.8S ribosomal RNA". The stretch from base 1 to 73 matches the Rfam family "Eukaryotic small subunit ribosomal RNA", at positions 1759 to 1831 of the family's 1831-position model. Lineage: Eukaryota; Fungi. The record is from RNAcentral.